Non-coding RNA from Mycena haematopus, 92 nucleotides. The record is from the annotation of a GenBank genome assembly. Lineage: Eukaryota; Fungi; Basidiomycota; Agaricomycetes; Agaricales; Mycenaceae.
GGCGCUAUGGCCGAGUGGUUACAUGUAAGUAAGGCGACAGAUUCGAAAUCUGUUCCGGUUUCCGGGCGCAGGUUCAAAUCCUGCUGGCGUCG